RNAcentral lists this ribosomal RNA (1405 nucleotides) under metagenome. RNAcentral describes it as "bacterial SSU rRNA". It matches the Rfam family "Bacterial small subunit ribosomal RNA". The record is from RNAcentral.
GGCGCGUUUUAAGCAUGCAAGUCGAACGGUAGAGUUCCUUCGGGAGCUUGAGAGUGGCGAACGGGUGAGUAACACGUAGAUGAUCUGCCUUGAAGUUGGGGAUAGCCCAUAGAAAUAUGGGGUAAUACCGGAUAAUCUCUUAGAACUUUGGUUUUUUGAGGAAAGGGGCUUCGGCCUCGCUUUGAGAUGAGUCUGCGGCUUAUUAGCUAGUUGGUAGGGUAAAGGCCUACCAAGGCGACGAUAAGUAGCCGGCCUGAGAGGGUGACCGGCCACAUUGGGACUGAGACACGGCCCAAACUCCUACGGGAGGCAGCAGCUAAGAAUCUUCCGCAAUGGGCGCAAGCCUGACGGAGCGACGCCGCGUGGACGAAGAAUGCCGAGAGGUUGUAAAGUCCUUUUAUAUGCGAAGAAUAAUGCCUGUAGGUAAUGACAGGCAGAUGACGUUAGCUUAUGAAUAAGCUCCGGCCAAUUACGUGCCAGCAGCCGCGGUAACACGUAAGGAGCGAGCGUUGUUCGGAAUUAUUGGGCGUAAAGGGCAUGUAGGCGGUUACAUAAGUCCGAUGUGAAAUACUACAGCUUAACUGUGGAAACGCAUUGGAAACUGUGUGACUUGAAUCAGUAAGGGGUAACCGGAAUUCCUAGUGUAGGGCUGAAAUGCGUAGAUAUUGGGAAGAACAUCGGUGGCGAAGGCGCGCUACUGGACCGAAACUGACACUCAGGGACGAAAGCUAGGGGAGCGAAAGGGAUUAGAUACCCCUGUAGUCCUAGCUGUAAACGAUGGAAACUAGGUGUGGCUUGUAUCGACCCGAGCCGUGCCGUAGCUAACGCGUUAAGUUUCCCGCCUGGGGAGUACGCACGCAAGUGUGAAACUCAAAGGAAUUGACGGGGGCCCGCACAAGCGGUGGAGUAUGUGGUUUAAUUCGAUGCAACGCGAAGAACCUUACCAGGGCUUGACAUGUCGCGAAUCUCCUUGAAAGGGGAGAGUGCCUUCGGGAGCGCGAACACAGGUGGUGCAUGGCUGUCGUCAGCUCGUGUCGUGAGAUGUUGGGUUAAGUCCCGCAACGAGCGCAACCCUCGUCUUUAGUUGCCAGCAUUAAGGUGGGCACUUUAGAGAGACUGCCGGUGACAAACCGGAGGAAGGUGGGGAUGACGUCAAGUCAGCAUGCCCCUUACGCCCUGGGCUACACACGUACUACAAUGGUUGGGACAAAGGGCAGCGACCCCGCGAGGGAAAGCGAAUCUCAUCAAACCCAGCCUCAGUUCAGAUUGCAGGCUGCAACUCGCCUGCAUGAAGGAGGAAUCGCUAGUAAUCGCAGGUCAGCAUACUGCGGUGAAUUCGUUCCCGGGCCUUGUACACACCGCCCGUCACACCAUGGAAGCUGGUCACGCCCGAAGUAGUUACCCU